Molecule: ribosomal RNA, 481 nt
Filed under: uncultured bacterium
Lineage: Bacteria
Description: partial 16S ribosomal RNA
Rfam family: Bacterial small subunit ribosomal RNA
Source: RNAcentral
GAUGAACGCUGGCGGCGUGCCUAACACAUGCAAGUCGAGCGAAGCACUUACUUUAGAUUUCUUCGGAAUGACGAAGUUUGUGACUGAGCGGCGGACGGGUGAGUAACGCGUGGGCAACCUGCCCUGUACAGGGGGAUAACAGUUAGAAAUGACUGCUAAUACCGCAUAAGCCCACAGCUUCGCAUGAAGCAGUGGGAAAAACUCCGGUGGUACAGGAUGGGCCCGCGUCUGAUUAGCUAGUUGGUAAGGUAACGGCUUACCAAGGCGACGAUCAGUAGCCGACCUGGGAGGGUGACCGGCCACAUUGGGACUGAGACCCGGCCCAAACUCCUACGGGAGGCAGCAGUGGGGAAUAUUGCACAAUGGGGGCAACCCUGAUGCAGCGACGCCGCGUGAGCGAUGAAGUAUUUCGGUAUGUAAAGCUCUAUCAGCAGGGAAGAAAGUGACGGUACCUGACUAAGAAGCCCCGGCUAACUACGUG